RNAcentral lists this ribosomal RNA (301 nucleotides) under uncultured bacterium. RNAcentral's name for it is "partial 16S ribosomal RNA". It matches the Rfam family "Bacterial small subunit ribosomal RNA", at positions 509 to 809 of the family's 1533-position model. The record is from RNAcentral.
CAGCAGCCGCGGUAAUACGGAGGAUCCAAGCGUUAUCCGGAAUCAUUGGGUUUAAAGGGUCCGUAGGCGGUCUUGUAAGUCAGUGGUGAAAGCCCAUCGCUCAACGGUGGAACGGCCAUUGAUACUGCAGGACUUGAAUUAUUGGGAAGUAACUAGAAUAUGUAGUGUAGCGGUGAAAUGCUUAGAGAUUACAUGGAAUACCAAUUGCGAAGGCAGGUUACUACCAAUUGAUUGACGCUGAUGGACGAAAGCGUGGGUAGCGAACAGGAUUAGAUACCCGCGUAGUCCCUGUCUCUUAUAA